ACAAAAAUGCUCUGCUUUUAUCAUAUGUACUACUAUCCCAUCGGCCACAGCAAGUCACACAAUCAAGACCACAGUCAAGAGACUGGAGAGUAUGUUAUAAUCACCGUGAGGCCAGAGCAAGGAUGGGGACCCAAAAUUCUAUUUGAGGAGAGUUAAGAUUUGAGAUCAAUAAUUCAGUCUACCACAGAUUACAAUGAAGUUUUUAAAAUUAUGAAGUAUGUCUACACAUCCUAUCACAGAAAGAUCUCAAAGGUGUGAGCUCACAACUGGAAAUUCCAAUUCAGAAGAUUUAGCUUUGGUAUCUGGAUUCUAAAAAUGCUACUUAGGUGUGACUCUCCACCUAUGUCUUCUAACUUGAAAGUGACUAUAAGUAUCACUCUGAAAAUAUCUUGCACCCAGCGCCUUUGGAAGCUUCGCUGAUUUCAGAGAGAGAGCGAGACAGUGCAAGCAGAGGGAUCCCAACUCGGGGCUUGACUCCAGGACCCUGGGAACAUGACCUAAGCUGAAGGCAGAUGCUUAACUGACUGAGCCACCCAGGAUGCUGGAUUAAAUCUACAUGGUUUAACUACAUGUCUAAAAAAGAUCAGCCUGGUGCCUCUGGAAAAAGUGUCAUUGGAGCUUGAAAUGAAAAGUUGAUUUUUUUCUUCAUUUUCCUGUCCUGCCAUUUCCAUAUAAUCAGCUCAAGUGAACACAGCACAGGAAACACAGAUCAAGAACCUUUCCACCUCCAGAUGCUUUUUAAGAUCAGUUCAUAAAAUUCCUUGAACAAGAAAACAUUUCAUCAUGUGGAAAUAAAUAUUUUUCUGCUUUCGCAUAUUUGAUCGGAAAGGGAAGACACAUGCCUCUCCUAAUAUCCCCGCCUGGGAAAUAAAGUAGAAUGGGGAGGAGGAAUGCUGAGUGGUUCUGCAAUCCAGUGAAGAGAGAAAACAAAGACAAUGUGAUAAAGAAAAAGAGGCCUUGUGCUGACUGAAUGCCCUAACCUGAGGGCUUUGCAAUUGCUUAGUCCAUUAUCUACAUCCCCAGGAUCAAAUGUGAGAUAUUUAGAGAUAUUUAUCAAAGAAAGGAGGAAAUAAAGCCACAAAACAAGAUAAAAGGAAAUGAUAGCACAUUCCCUACUAAGUGAAAAAGUUAGCUCUGCACUUAACUGGCUUUCAACUGCAAACUACACAGAAAAUAUUGAUGCAGAUAACAUAACAGGCUUUCAUAAGAAACACGCAGAUUUCAUAGUAUUCAAGAAAUCACAUGAGAUACUUGGCACUUUUGAGGCACUUGUGCGGCUCAGUCAAUUAAGCAUCCAACUCCUGGUUUCAGCUCAGUCAUGAGAUCUAGCCCCAAGUUGGGAUCCAAGCUCAGCUCAGAGUCCGCUUGAGAUUAUCCUUCUCUCCCUUUCUCCUGCCCCACCCUCUCUUCCUCUCUCUCAUUAAAUAAAUA
Long non-coding RNA from Canis lupus familiaris (dog), 1431 nucleotides. RefSeq lists it as uncharacterized. The transcript is spliced from 9 exons. The record is from RefSeq and is a predicted model, not a curated record. Lineage: Eukaryota; Metazoa; Chordata; Mammalia; Carnivora; Canidae.